UAAACGACUCUCGGCAACGGAUAUCUCGGCUCUCGCAUCGAUGAAGAACGUAGCGAAAUGCGAUACUUGGUGUGAAUUGCAGAAUCCCGUGAACCAUCGAGUCUUUGAACGCAAGUUGCGCCCGAAGCCUCGGCUGAGGGCACGCCUGCCUGGGUGUCACACAU
Molecule: ribosomal RNA, 164 nt
Filed under: Combretum hereroense
Lineage: Eukaryota; Viridiplantae; Streptophyta; Magnoliopsida; Myrtales; Combretaceae
Also listed under: 3 other names
Description: 5.8S ribosomal RNA
Rfam family: 5.8S ribosomal RNA
About the family: 5.8S ribosomal RNA (5.8S rRNA) is a component of the large subunit of the eukaryotic ribosome.
Source: RNAcentral